UGAGGCGUCUUCUAAAGGUAGGAAACCUGACUUUGAUUCAGGGUAAUGUACGUUCGAGUCGUACCGCCUCAACCA
RNAcentral lists this transfer RNA (75 nucleotides) under Asticcacaulis sp. AC460. RNAcentral's name for it is "tRNA-Gln". It matches the Rfam family "tRNA". Rfam says of the family: Transfer RNA (tRNA) molecules are approximately 80 nucleotides in length. Their secondary structure includes four short double-helical elements and three loops (D, anti-codon, and T loops). Lineage: Bacteria; Pseudomonadati; Pseudomonadota; Alphaproteobacteria; Caulobacterales; Caulobacteraceae. The record is from RNAcentral.